RNAcentral lists this long non-coding RNA (642 nucleotides) under Triticum aestivum (bread wheat). RNAcentral describes it as "long non-coding RNA (TAES_LNC028406)". The record is from RNAcentral. Lineage: Eukaryota; Viridiplantae; Streptophyta; Magnoliopsida; Poales; Poaceae.
UUUUCAAUAACAAAACCAUGAAGAAUAUCAGUGCAUCAAGGCUCUCAACCAAAAACGGAAGUUGCGACACAAAAAAGUUCGGUACAAACAAUGGUUUAUUGAUGUUUUCUUUCGCAUGAAUCAGAUCGAUCCAUAGUGCACAUGUGUACUAAUUGGCCCGAUCUUACACGCCUGAACGUCUUGAGCACAAGAAUACUUUCUACCCAUUACUUGUAUGGCGUUCAAACAUCGCAGCAGCAAAUGCCACCACCAUCCGGUACGCAGUGGGCUUUAUUGUGUCCAAAAAACUUGCAGUGAUUCAGGCACGCCUCUUCGGAUGCAUGAUCUUUGUGGCAGCUUACAAAAUGAAUACAGUAAUCGAUGAUGGGGAUUGGUUUUUUAUCUACACACGUUGAGGUAUAGCAGUGUAAGCACGUAUAAAUCUACUUGCUUGGAUUAGUUUGAAAUACAUAUACAAAGGUGUGCUCAUAUCAUAUACUAAAAUGAAUAGGAAAAUAGAUAAACAAACGGAUGUACCUGCGUGACAUGAUAAUAGAGUGGUAGACAUCAUCACAAGAGCUACCAAGCAUAGAGCUGUUGCCGUGUUCUUGAUAUGUGCCAUGAGAGAUGGUUUGUAUUUUAUUUUGUUCAAGACAGGUUGAC